This 497-nucleotide ribosomal RNA is filed under the name uncultured bacterium. RNAcentral's name for it is "partial 16S ribosomal RNA". It matches the Rfam family "Bacterial small subunit ribosomal RNA", at positions 28 to 507 of the family's 1533-position model. The record is from RNAcentral.
GAUGAACGCUGGCGGCGUGCCUAAUACAUGCAAGUCGAGCGAACAGAUAAGGAGCUUGCUCCUUUGACGUUAGCGGCGGACGGAUGAGUAACACGUGGGUAACCUACCUAUAAGACUGGGAUAACUUCGGGAAACCGGAGCUAAUACCGGAUAAUAUUUCGAACCGCAUGGUUCGAUAGUGAAAGAUGGUUUUGCUAUCACUUAUAGAUGGACCCGCGCCGUAUUAGCUAGUUGGUAAGGUAACGGCUUACCAAGGCGACGAUACGUAGCCGACCUGAGAGGGUGAUCGGCCACACUGGAACUGAGACACGGUCCAGACUCCUACGGGAGGCAGCAGUAGGGAAUCUUCCGCAAUGGGCGAAAGCCUGACGGAGCAACGCCGCGUGAGUGAUGAAGGUCUUCGGAUCGUAAAACUCUGUUAUUAGGGAAGAACAUACGUGUAAGUAACUGUGCACGUCUUGACGGUACCUAAUCAGAAAGCCACGGCUAACUACGUG